AAUGGUAAGUACUUGUAUUUAUUUAUUUUUAAAUAGCACUUUACAAUUAUCUGAGAAAAAAACAUUAUUCAUUUUAAAAUUACCUAAUUGAUUUCUAAAUGAAAUUGUUUCUUUUUCUUCAGUAGUGCAAUCUCAGUCAAAUCUUGAAGACUCUUUGGAUGUCAGUCCCAUAUGCUCAAAUUCAAAGGCCCAAACAAUUUCCUUCACUCAUCAAAAGUACAUUGUAAAUAGCUGUUUGAUUGUCAAGUAUGGGGAAAUAUUCUAUCCAGGAGUUGUGAUAGAAGUCCUGGAUGAUCAGCGCAGAAAUAAUUUUUUAAAAAGGCACAGAAAUAAAAGAAAUAUAUUUGUAUAUCCAGAAGUGCAGGACAUACAGUUAGUGUAUGCAGACAUGAUUGUUACUGAAGUGAUGUUGAUACCAAUGGCAAUAGUUUGAGAGUGGAAUGUUUUGAUUUCUGAAUUUGUCAAAUAAAAUUUGUGUACAGUU
Biomphalaria glabrata is the source of this 484-nucleotide long non-coding RNA. RefSeq lists it as uncharacterized. NCBI's taxonomy places the organism in Eukaryota, Metazoa, Mollusca, Gastropoda, Planorbidae. The transcript is spliced from 3 exons. The record is from RefSeq and is a predicted model, not a curated record.